This 253-nucleotide ribosomal RNA is filed under the name Kluyveromyces marxianus. RNAcentral describes it as "partial 26S ribosomal RNA". It matches the Rfam family "Eukaryotic large subunit ribosomal RNA", at positions 350 to 647 of the family's 3401-position model. Lineage: Eukaryota; Fungi; Ascomycota; Saccharomycetes; Saccharomycetales; Saccharomycetaceae. The record is from RNAcentral.
ACAGUGAUGGAAAGAUGAAAAGAACUUUGAAAAGAGAGUGAAAAAGUACGUGAAAUUGUUGAAAGGGAAGGGCAUUUGAUCAGACAUGGCGUUUGCUUCGGCUUUCGCUGGGCCAGCAUCAGUUUUAGCGGUUGGAUAAAUCCUCGGGAAUGUGGCUCUGCUUCGGUAGAGUGUUAUAGCCCGUGGGAAUACAGCCAGCUGGGACGAGGAUUGCGACUUUUGUCAAGGAUGCUGGCGUAAUGGUUAAAUGCCG